Podarcis lilfordi (Lilford's wall lizard) is the source of this 72-nucleotide non-coding RNA. The record is from the annotation of a GenBank genome assembly. Lineage: Eukaryota; Metazoa; Chordata; Lepidosauria; Squamata; Lacertidae.
GCCAGUAACACAGUGGGCUAGUGCAUCAGCCUAUUAACCAAAAGGUUGGUGGUUCGAGCCCACCCAGGGAUA